GACGAACGCUGUCGGCGUGCUUAACACAUGCAAGUCGAACGGAAAGGCCCUGCUUUUGUGGGGUGCUCGAGUGGCGAACGGGUGAGUAACACGUGAGUAACCUGCCCUUGACUUUGGGAUAACUUCAGGAAACUGGGGCUAAUACCGGAUAGGAGCUCCUGCUGCAUGGUGGGGGUUGGAAAGUUUCGGCGGUUGGGGAUGGACUCGCGGCUUAUCAGCUUGUUGGUGGGGUAGUGGCUUACCAAGGCUUUGACGGGUAGCCGGCCUGAGAGGGUGACCGGCCACAUUGGGACUGAGAUACGGCCCAGACUCCUACGGGAGGCAGCAGUGGGGAAUAUUGCACAAUGGGCGGAAGCCUGAUGCAGCAACGCCGCGUGCGGGAUGACGGCCUUCGGGUUGUAAACCGCUUUCGCCUGUGACGAAGCGUGAGUGACGGUAAUGGGUAAAGAAGCACCGGCUAACUACGUGCCAGCAGCCGCGGUGAUACGUAGGGUGCGAGCGUUGUCCGGAUUUAUUGGGCGUAAAGGGCUCGUAGGUGGUUGAUCGCGUCGGAAGUGUAAUCUUGGGGCUUAACCCUGAGCGUGCUUUCGAUACGGGUUGACUUGAGGAAGGUAGGGGAGAAUGGAAUUCCUGGUGGAGCGGUGGAAUGCGCAGAUAUCAGGAGGAACACCAGUGGCGAAGGUGGUUCUCUGGGCCUUUCCUGACGCUGAGGAGCGAAAGCGUGGGGAGCGAACAGGCUUAGAUACCCUGGUAGUCCACGCUGUAAACGGUGGGUACUAGGUGUGGGGUCCAUUCCACGGGUUCCGUGCCGUAGCUAACGCUUUAAGUACCCCGCCUGGGGAGUACGGCCGCAAGGCUAAAACUCAAAGGAAUUGACGGGGCCCCGCACAAGCGGCGGAGCAUGCGGAUUAAUUCGAUGCAACGCGUAGAACCUUACCUGGGUUUGACAUGGAUCGGGAGUGCUCAGAGAUGGGUGUGCCUCUUUUGGGGUCGGUUCACAGGUGGUGCAUGGCUGUUGUCAGCUCGUGUCGUGAGAUGUUGGGUUAAGUCCCGCAACGAGCGCAACCCUUGUUCACUGUUGCCAGCACGUUAUGGUGGGGACUCAGUGGAGACCGCCGGGGUCAACUCGGAGGAAGGUGGGGAUGACGUCAAGUCAUCAUGCCCCUUAUGUCCAGGGCUUCACGCAUGCUACAAUGGCUGGUACAGAGAGUGGCGAGCCUGUGAGGGUGAGCGAAUCUCGGAAAGCCGGUCUCAGUUCGGAUUGGGGUCUGCAACUCGACCUCAUGAAGUCGGAGUCGCUAGUAAUCGCAGAUCAGCAACGCUGCGGUGAAUACGUUCCCGGG
Molecule: ribosomal RNA, 1343 nt
Filed under: uncultured bacterium
Lineage: Bacteria
Description: 16S ribosomal RNA
Rfam family: Bacterial small subunit ribosomal RNA
Source: RNAcentral